RNAcentral lists this ribosomal RNA (253 nucleotides) under uncultured bacterium. RNAcentral describes it as "partial 16S ribosomal RNA". It matches the Rfam family "Bacterial small subunit ribosomal RNA", at positions 524 to 776 of the family's 1533-position model. The record is from RNAcentral.
UACGGAGGGGGCAAACGUUGUUCGGAAUUACUGGGCGUAAAGGGUGCGUAGGCGGUUCGGCCAGUCUGAUGUGAAAGCCCAUUGCUCAACAAUGGAUAUGCAUUGGAAACUACCGAGCUCGAGAGCGGAAGAGGCAGGUGGAAUUCCUGGUGUAGCGGUGGAAUGCGUAGAUAUCAGGAAGAACACUCGUGGCGAAGGCGGCCUGCUGGUCCGUUUCUGACGCUGAGGCACGAAAGCCAGGGGAGCGAACGGG